UGGUGUCUCCAGGGCGACUGAGAGGAGCAGAGUUUUCUGAGGCUGGAAACACCUACCAUGGCUGAGUCUCCCACAGCUGAGCAGCUGGAAUCUGUUCUGGACACCACAGGGCAGCUGAGUACAAAUUGGAGCUUAGAUCCUCCGACUGAGGCAGCUAGAAAAUCUGUCUCACUCUCCUGGAUGGAUAUCCCCUCUCUGGUCAUUGCCCUGGUUGGGCCGGUGGGGAACAGCAUCGUCCUGUGGCUGCUGGGCUUCCGCACCCGGAGGAGCCCCUUCUCAGUCUACAUCCUCAACCUGGCCGCGGCCGAUGCCCUCUUCCUUGGCAGCUACUUUGGGCUCCGCAUGUCGGAGGAGUCAGGAGGAGAAUUCUCUGGAAACAUUUCUUGAAAGGAGGCUCUCUUGAAGGUGGAGCCUGAGGUUGGCAUGAGAAGCCUUACCUAGAGAGAUCUUGGUACUGCAGCAGGGUGAAGAAUCAGGAUUUGAUAGGUCAUUGUUUAAGGAGAAUGUAUGCCAUGGUAAAUGACAGAAAUGAGAGAAUCUUCCAUGAGGCCUGGACUGACCACAGAGAUGGGCUUUUAUACUUCAUUCUUCUGAGACAUGUCAUAUCAUAAUAGAUUCCAGGCACUGACAAGGCAGCCCUCAGAAAUUGUGGCUUCCACUGAUCCCCUUCUGUGACUUCUCUCUCUCUUCAACUUCAAGACACAAUCCAAUGAAGACAGAAACCAGGCAACAUUGCCUGGUUUAAAGUAACACAAGAAAAAUAAGAACUUGUAAA
This is a non-coding RNA of Monodelphis domestica (gray short-tailed opossum), 775 nucleotides long. The record is from RefSeq and is a predicted model, not a curated record. NCBI's taxonomy places the organism in Eukaryota, Metazoa, Chordata, Mammalia, Didelphimorphia, Didelphidae.